CCCUUAGAUGUUCUGGGCUGCACGCGCGCUACACUGAAGCUAUCAACACGUUUUCCCUCCCUGAGAAGGGCGGGUAACCUUUUGAAUCAGCUUCGUGGUAGGGAUCGGGGCUUGCAAUUGUUCCCCGUGAACCAGGAAUUCCUAGUAGACGCGAGUCAUAAGCUCGCAUCGAUUAAGUCCCUGCCCUUUGUACACACCGCCCGUCACUACUACCGAUUGAACGUUUUAGUGAGGCAUUUGGACCGACGCAUCUCAGUUUAACCGCUGGUUUGUGUUGGAAAGACUUCCAAACUUGAGCGUUGAGAGGAAGUAAAAGUCGUAACA
RNAcentral lists this ribosomal RNA (324 nucleotides) under uncultured eukaryote. Its description in RNAcentral is "partial 18S ribosomal RNA". It matches the Rfam family "Eukaryotic small subunit ribosomal RNA", at positions 1470 to 1796 of the family's 1831-position model. The record is from RNAcentral.